CCAUCGGUGGUUCAGUGGUAGAAUGCUCGCCUGCCACGCGGUCGGCCCGGGUUCGAUUCCCGACCGAUGCA
This is a non-coding RNA of Cordylochernes scorpioides, 71 nucleotides long. Lineage: Eukaryota; Metazoa; Arthropoda; Arachnida; Pseudoscorpiones; Chernetidae. The record is from the annotation of a GenBank genome assembly.